AGCGAACGCUGGCGGCAGGCUUAACACAUGCAAGUCGAACGGGCAUAGCAAUAUGUCAGUGGCAGACGGGUGAGUAACGCGUGGGAACGUACCUUUUGGUUCGGAACAACACAGGGAAACUUGUGCUAAUACCGGAUAAGCCCUUACGGGGAAAGAUUUAUCGCCGAAAGAUCGGCCCGCGUCUGAUUAGCUAGUUGGUAGGGUAAUGGCCUACCAAGGCGACGAUCAGUAGCUGGUCUGAGAGGAUGAUCAGCCACAUUGGGACUGAGACACGGCCCAAACUCCUACGGGAGGCAGCAGUGGGGAAUAUUGGACAAUGGGCGAAAGCCAGAUCCAGCCAUGCCGCGUGAGUGAUGAAGGCCCUAGGGUUGUAAAGCUCUUUUGUGCGGGAAGAUAAUGACGGUACCGCAAGAAUAAGCCCCGGCUAACUUCGUG
This 435-nucleotide ribosomal RNA is filed under the name uncultured bacterium. Its description in RNAcentral is "partial 16S ribosomal RNA". It matches the Rfam family "Bacterial small subunit ribosomal RNA", at positions 29 to 507 of the family's 1533-position model. The record is from RNAcentral.